RNAcentral lists this long non-coding RNA (2058 nucleotides) under Sus scrofa (pig). RNAcentral describes it as "lncRNA (ENSSSCG00060020323.1)". Lineage: Eukaryota; Metazoa; Chordata; Mammalia; Artiodactyla; Suidae. The record is from RNAcentral.
UUUUUUUUUUAGGGUGGCACCCAAGACAUAGCCCAGGCAAGGGGGUUCCCAGGCUAGGGGUUAAACUGGAGCCAUAGCCCCAGCCUACGUCACAGCCACAGCCACAGCCACAGCAAUGCCAUAUCCGAGCCACGUCUGGGACCUACAGCACAGCUCACAGCAAUGCCGGAUCCUUAACCCACUGAGUGAAGCCAGGGAUCGAACCUGCAACCUCACGGAUACUAGUGGGGUUCUCAAGCCACUGAGCCACAGUGGAACUCCAAAGUAGCCAGUUUAACCAAGACUUCCUGGGAAGAAAGUCCUUUAUAGAAUUCCACGCCUCUGGGGCAGAAUUACCGACACCCUGUGACCAGCUGGCCUGUUGGUAUGCUUCCUUAUAUCUUGUUCCACUUGUCAGUGGUAUUUGUCCACGUGCAGCAGGAGGUGUUGCCGUCACACAGAUGCUGCCUUGUUCUGCCAGGAGAUACCCUGGGCCGUUCUAGUAUCCGUUACUACACUGGCUAAGGAAUCACCACCAUCUUAACCUAGAGACUAGGGUUUGGGCCAGUUCCUCCACCAAGGCUGUUAGAUUUCAAAGGGGUGACAGGCACCCCCUCCCUGUGGCACUCCUGAGACAGGCUGGGACCUGGGACAUAGGGCUGCCAUGCUUGCCCCAGACAAAGUCCUCUAGCAACAAAAUACAAAGAAGCCAUAAGCGACAAAAAAGAGCUGCAUGAGUGUGCAGCUGGGGCAAAUUAAGGGUGACAAGAUAGAAAAAGGCCAAAACCCAACUGCCACUUACAAAGAGUCGGGAGCAAAAAUGCGUCAUAGCAAAAGCAGGGCACCACACAUGCCCAGCAUAUACCACCUGCAACGGGGUGGCCAAACCACCGAAGCCGCCCCUCUGGCCCCACCCCUCAUAAGGAACCUGCUCUCCCCCCACCCCCAGUCCCCCAGGGAGCAGGGAAAGGACUGACUCUUGUUUUCUCUCCUUCCAUCCUGGCUGCAGCAGGAGUUCUGAAUGAAGCCUUUCCUAAAUGUCUUGCUGGCUCCUGGUCCAUUGCUCCUGCCUGGGAAGACCUAGAGCCCUGGUGGGAGUUCCCGGCGUGGCGCAGCGGAAACAAAUCCGACUAAGAACCAUGAGGUCGCCGGUUUGAUCCCUGGCCUCACUCAAUGCUGGUCGGGUUUGUGACCCACUGAGCCACGACCGGAAGCCCCAGCGUUUCUUCAGGCUGUGACCAGCCUGUCCCGCUUUUCCUGGACCGAGGUACCCAGAUGAUUAGAGGUGGUAUGCUAAUUUCUAGGGCCCACGGGAGCUGCUGGGUGACCUUUGCGGUGAGCAAGCCUCCACUGUCACUCUGGAGGUGACGGGGUAACCCCAACCUAGGGGCGAGCUCCCUCAGAAGCGCCUUAGCCCCUCCGCUGCCCUUUCUGGCCUGUGGGGAAGGCCUCUACCCGCCCGGUAAGAGUAUCAACAAAGACCAGCACGUAUUUGAAGCCCUGGGAAGAGGGCGCCUGGCUGAAAUCUUCCUGCCGGGCCUCCCCCGGCCAAGCCCCAUGUGGAUGCACUGGGCAAACAAAAUGGGGGCUGAGGCUGUCCCUAGACGGGGGCGCAGAGGGCACGGGCUCAGGUGACGCACCUGACUGUGUCUGGAAGCCCCUUCCCUGUGAAAAGCCGGAAGACCGUUGUAGACGCGGCCUCUGCCCGGAUGGAGACUCAGGCAGCCCUUCCAUCCCCCACUGGCCAGCGGGGGGCGGGGGGGGGGUGGCCGCCUCUGCUCCAGGGGCCACCAGCCGCCUGUGCCCUCACCUCCCCCUCUGUCUCGAGCCAGGUCUCUUCAGAAGCUGAAGCCUGGAGUUCCUGCUGUGGUGCAAUGGGACCGGUGGCGCCUUGGGAGCGCUGGGACACAGGUUCGAUCCCUGGCCCGGCCCAGCGGGUUAAAAAUCUGGUGUUGCCACAGCUGCAGCUUACGUGGUAACCACAGCUGGAAUCUGAUCCCUGGCCUAGGAACUCCAUAGGCCAUGGGGUGGCCCAAAAAGGAAAAACAAAAAAAGCAGCUGAGUCUCCCUGAGUAGCAC